RNAcentral lists this ribosomal RNA (883 nucleotides) under Salmonella enterica. RNAcentral describes it as "partial 23S ribosomal RNA". It matches the Rfam family "Bacterial large subunit ribosomal RNA", at positions 1920 to 2802 of the family's 2925-position model. The record is from RNAcentral. Lineage: Bacteria; Pseudomonadati; Pseudomonadota; Gammaproteobacteria; Enterobacterales; Enterobacteriaceae.
CCGGUAAACGGCGGCCGUAACUAUAACGGUCCUAAGGUAGCGAAAUUCCUUGUCGGGUAAGUUCCGACCUGCACGAAUGGCGUAAUGAUGGCCAGGCUGUCUCCACCCGAGACUCAGUGAAAUUGAACUCGCUGUGAAGAUGCAGUGUACCCGCGGCAAGACGGAAAGACCCCGUGAACCUUUACUAUAGCUUGACACUGAACAUUGAGCCUUGAUGUGUAGGAUAGGUGGGAGGCUUUGAAGCGUGGACGCCAGUCUGCGUGGAGCCAACCUUGAAAUACCACCCUUUAAUGUUUGAUGUUCUAACGUGGACCCGUAAUCCGGGUUGCGGACAGUGUCUGGUGGGUAGUUUGACUGGGGCGGUCUCCUCCUAAAGAGUAACGGAGGAGCACGAAGGUUGGCUAAUCCUGGUCGGACAUCAGGAGGUUAGUGCAAUGGCAUAAGCCAGCUUGACUGCGAGCGUGACGGCGCGAGCAGGUGCGAAAGCAGGUCAUAGUGAUCCGGUGGUUCUGAAUGGAAGGGCCAUCGCUCAACGGAUAAAAGGUACUCCGGGGAUAACAGGCUGAUACCGCCCAAGAGUUCAUAUCGACGGCGGUGUUUGGCACCUCGAUGUCGGCUCAUCACAUCCUGGGGCUGAAGUAGGUCCCAAGGGUAUGGCUGUUCGCCAUUUAAAGUGGUACGCGAGCUGGGUUUAGAACGUCGUGAGACAGUUCGGUCCCUAUCUGCCGUGGGCGCUGGAGAACUGAGGGGGGCUGCUCCUAGUACGAGAGGACCGGAGUGGACGCAUCACUGGUGUUCGGGUUGUCAUGCCAAUGGCACUGCCCGGUAGCUAAAUGCGGAAGAGAUAAGUGCUGAAAGCAUCUAAGCACGAAACUUGCCCCGA